This 433-nucleotide ribosomal RNA is filed under the name uncultured bacterium. RNAcentral describes it as "partial 16S ribosomal RNA". It matches the Rfam family "Bacterial small subunit ribosomal RNA", at positions 29 to 507 of the family's 1533-position model. The record is from RNAcentral.
AACGAACGCUGGCGGCAUGCCUAACACAUGCAAGUCGAACGAGACCUUCGGGUCUAGUGGCGCACGGGUGCGUAACGCGUGGGAACCUGCCCUUAGGUUCGGAAUAACUCCCCGAAAGGGGUGCUAAUACCGGAUAAUGUCUUCGGACCAAAGAUUUAUCGCCUUUGGAUGGGCCCGCGUUGGAUUAGCUAGUUGGUAGGGUAAAAGCCUACCAAGGCGACGAUCCAUAGCUGGUCUGAGAGGAUGAUCAGCCACACUGGGACUGAGACACGGCCCAGACUCCUACGGGAGGCAGCAGUGGGGAAUAUUGGACGAUGAGCGAAAGCCUGAUCAAGCAAUGCCGCGUGAGUGAUGAAGGCCUUAGGGUUGUAAAGCUCUUUUACCCGGGAUGAUAAUGACAGUACCGGGAGAAUAAGCACCGGCUAACUCCGUG